UCUCCGUUGGUGAACCAGCGGAGGGAUCAUUACAGAGUUUUCUAACUCCCAAACCCUUUGUGAACUUACCAUUCUGUUGCCUCGGCGGGCCUCUGGGAUUCGUCCCAUGUCCGCCGGCGGCCCCUUACUCUUUGCCUCUCGCGUUGUCUCUCCGAGUAUCGCAGAAUGCAUAAAAACUUUCAACAACGGAUCUCUUGGUUCUGGCAUCGAUGAAGAACGCAGC
RNAcentral lists this unclassified non-coding RNA (223 nucleotides) under uncultured fungus. RNAcentral's name for it is "sequence contains ITS1, 5.8S rRNA gene". The stretch from base 175 to 223 matches the Rfam family "5.8S ribosomal RNA", at positions 1 to 49 of the family's 154-position model. Lineage: Eukaryota; Fungi. The record is from RNAcentral.